CAGCAGCCGCGGGAAUACGUAGGGUGCGAGCGUUAAUCGGAAUUACUGGGCGUAAAGGGCGCGUAGGCGGCGAUCAAAGUCAGGCGUGAAAUUCCUGGGCUCAACCUGGGGGCUGCGUUUGAUACUUGAUUGCUAGAGUGGGGAAGAGGGUCGUGGAAUUCCCAGUGUAGAGGUGAAAUUCGUAGAUAUUGGGAAGAACACCGGUGGCGAAGGCGGCGACCUGGUCCUUGACUGACGCUGAGGCGCGAAAGCGUGGGGAGCAAACAGGAUUAGAUACCCGGGUAGUCCUGUCUCUUAUACA
This 301-nucleotide ribosomal RNA is filed under the name uncultured bacterium. Its description in RNAcentral is "partial 16S ribosomal RNA". It matches the Rfam family "Bacterial small subunit ribosomal RNA", at positions 509 to 809 of the family's 1533-position model. The record is from RNAcentral.